CAAUAGCGUGUGUUAAAGUUGUUGCAGUUAAAAAGCUCGUAGUUGGAUUUCUGGUGGGAGCGAUCGGUCUGGCGCUUAGCGCGAGUACUUGCAUCGUCUCCGGCCAUCCUUGGGGAGAGUCUGUCUGGCAUUAGGUUGUCGGGCAGAGGAUCCUCAUCGUUUACUGUGAAAAAAUUAGAGUGUUCAAAGCAGGCUUAUGCCGUUGAAUACAUUAGCAUGGAAUAAUAAGAUAGGACUUUGGCACUAUUUUGUUGGUUUGCGCACCAAAGUAAUGAUUAAUAGGGACAGUUGGGGGUAUUCGUAUUCCGUUGUCAGAGGUGAAAUUCUUGGAUUUACGGAAGACGAACUACUGCGAAAGCAUUUACCAAGGAUGUUUUCAUUAA
This 383-nucleotide ribosomal RNA is filed under the name uncultured eukaryote. RNAcentral's name for it is "partial 18S ribosomal RNA". It matches the Rfam family "Eukaryotic small subunit ribosomal RNA", at positions 592 to 976 of the family's 1831-position model. The record is from RNAcentral.